CGCAUCCGGACACGCCAAGAGGGUGCCUUGAAUCUAAUCUAAUCUCUCUGUGUCCGGUCUGGUCUCUAAAACGCUGCAUGAUAAAUGAUAAUUACUUAUGAUGGAUGAACACCCACAAAGAAUAAUAUAAAAAGUUAACAACUUUAUUAUAUAUUCACUGUUAAUCACAACAAAAAGGUACCCUUUUGAUGGUUCUACUUUUAUAAUUUUGAUCAGAAAUAAAAUAUUUAUAAUUUUGAAGCAUAAUUAUCUCGAGUAAAUAUGCUUUAAUCCUCUGUGCCUGUGAAGUCUCCCACAAUCUCGAAGAAGAAGAAGUUAAUCAGAGCAUACUGUGUUUGAGGACAAAAUUGGGUUGAACAUUUGUGUUUCUUCUCAUAUGUAGAAAAUCAAUCCGUCUUUAAUUUCUGGGACUUGGAAUCUUUCUCUCGAGCUUUGUUGAUUGCCCAGCUUGUUUGAUGCAUCAAAAGCGCUAAACCCAUUGCAGGGGGUUCUUGUAAACGGUGUUUUCUGUUUUUCCAUGGGAAAGUUGCUCUAGAAACCCGACUUCUUUUGGUGAGUUGGCUUUAAUUACUUUCCUUCUAUUGUAACAGCCAUCAUUUCUAGUGUUAUUGUGGUGUUAGAUUCACUUAUAAGAACUUGGUCUUAAGGAUUUCAUCAAUGUUGGAGAAGAGCAAGCUUCCUUCAAGGUUUCUGUUUUCCUUAGUAACUAUUUCAACAUUCCUUUUGAUCCUUUCUUCUGUUUUCCUUCUUCAAUUUAACCAUGGUUCUUUCCUACCUAGAUCAGUUUUUAAGCUAAUCCUUCUAAAUGGCACCUCAGUUUACUUCAACUCCAAUGUCAAAAGUGAACAAAUGCAAAAUCCUUUACUCUCUGAUAAACCUUCACAUAUCGAUUUUAACCCAACCAAAGGAAAUCGAGUGCCAUGUGCAAAUUCCAAUUCUGGCAGGGAAAUGGGUUCCAGGUUAGGCGGAGGAAGACCCUGUGAUUCAAAUGAUGCUGUCCUAAAGGUAUAUAUGUAUGACUUGCCGCCUCAAUUUCACUUUGGGUUACUGGGUUGGAAAGGAAGGGAAAAUCAAACGUGGCCCAGUAUCAAUAACCCCAAUCACAUCCCAGCAUAUGCUGACGGGUUGAAUUUACAGCAUAGCAUGGAGUAUUGGCUCACACUUGAUCUUCUGUCAUCAAACUCACCAAAAGUGGCCAGGCCCUGCAGUGCGAUUAGAGUGAAAAAUCAUAGUGAGGCAGAUAUUGUAUUCGUGCCAUUCUUUUCAUCCCUGAGUUACAACCGGCAUUCAAAGCUCCAGGGAAAUGCGAAAGUCAGUGUUAACAAGAUGUUGCAGGACAAAUUGUUGCAGUUUUUGACGGGUCGGGAUGAAUGGAGGAGACAUGGAGGGAAGGAUCAUUUAAUUGUAGCUCAUCAUCCAAAUUGCAUGUUAGAUGCAAGAAAGAAGUUGGGUUCUGCUAUGUUGUUACUUGCCGAUUUUGGAAGAUACCCAAUGGAAAUCGCAAAUCUUCAGAAGGAUAUUAUUGGUCCUUACAAUCAUGUAGUUAGGACCAUUCCCAGUGAUGAAUCAGCUUCAUAUGACAAACGUCCUAUAUUGAUAUAUUUCCAGGGAGCGAUAUAUAGAAAAGAUGGAGGAGUUAUUCGCCAAGAAUUAUAUUACCUUCUGAAAGAUGAGAAAGAUGUACAUUUUACAUUUGGAACAGCGCAAGGGAAUGGAGUCAAUGUUGCAGGCCAAGGAAUGGCCUCGUCCAAAUUUUGUCUGAAUAUCGCUGGUGAUACUCCCUCCUCAAAUCGCCUAUUUGAUGCCAUUGCGAGUCACUGUGUUCCUGUAAUAAUAAGUGAUGAUAUAGAGCUCCCAUUUGAAGAUGUCUUAGACUACUCGGAAUUCUGUGUCUUUGUCAAUUCAUCUGAUGCUGUUAAAAAGGGAUACCUACUAAAUUUCCUUAGGGGAAUUGAGAAAGAUCAAUGGACCAGGAUGUGGGAUAGAUUGAAGGAAAUAGUGCAUCACUUUGAAUAUCAGUAUCCAUCCCAGCCUGAUGAUGCUGUUGAUAUGAUUUGGAAGGCAGUCUCACGAAAGAUAUCGUCCCGACGUGUAGAAAUUUUCAGGCAGAAUAGAUACCACAGAUCCCAACUCCUGUUAACAAGUAAUUGAAGUGACACAUGAUGACAUGCAAUUGCAAUUGCAAUUUGCAAGGUACAAAUUUUCUUUGACCUUGCAAUGACUGGAGAUUGAUCAACCAUUUGGCUGGAGUCCUCAUUUUUCAAGGAGGACAGAAGCCUACUUUUAUGGAAGAUCUGAUUCGGAAGACUAAAAGCAUAAAAGCAAGAGGAGAGGGACGAAGAACAUGUAGGGAAGCCUCAGAGAUUCACCUCAAUCGUAAGCCUGGCUGUUUUGGAAGACUCUACUGACAGGUUUGAACAAAAAGUUGAUAGAUGGAACAAUAUCGUUGGGAAGAGAAGCAUCUUUGUUCCCACCCCACCACAUCUCCCUAUCAUUUGCAAUUGCUCUUUUUUACCAAACAGAGACCAACGGGAGUCUUUUGAACUCUCUUCUUAGCUAGCCGACUUGCCAAGUCAUCCGACCAUGCUGACAUGGACUUACAAAACAUAAUCUGCAAUGUAUUCCCUAGUGUCCUGCACAUAUGGCUCCAUUGAAACUGCUAAAGCGUCGUUGGGUCUGUUUCAGAGUGUGUUGUGCUUUGACCUUUACAGUGAGGUGAGCCGAGUUACGAAAUCGUUGUGAGGUGACAAAGUGUUUGGGGGUGUCACUUAGAAUAUUUUGGCGAGGUAAACCUGA
Molecule: RNA transcript, 2796 nt
Organism: Tripterygium wilfordii
Lineage: Eukaryota; Viridiplantae; Streptophyta; Magnoliopsida; Celastrales; Celastraceae
Gene name: probable arabinosyltransferase ARAD1
Exons: 4
Source: RefSeq, a predicted model, not a curated record